This 1432-nucleotide long non-coding RNA is filed under the name Felis catus (domestic cat). RNAcentral describes it as "lncRNA (ENSFCAG00000041029.2)". Lineage: Eukaryota; Metazoa; Chordata; Mammalia; Carnivora; Felidae. The record is from RNAcentral.
AACAUCCCACACUGUAGUUUGGAUGUUAACUGCCACCCAGUUGGGCUCUAAGCCUGUUCCUUUGAUCUUCUCAGAGUUACUGGGAACUACUUAAUAACGUUUAAUAGAAUCCUUUUCUGACUGAAUGGUCUCAUACUCUUUUGUUUACAACUAAGAAUGCUGAGAGUUUUACAGAUGGAGAAUUUUUUUUAAACAAGCAUUUUUAUUCAGUACCACCGUCUUGUAACUUUACCUGUGCCAGAGAUUUGCAUUUAAUUCUUAAAGGACUUAUUCUUUUUUUUUUCCUCUGUGUGUUUCUAAAACACAUUUGAGGAGAUUUAAACAACUUUAAACAGUUUGACAUGAUAUCUGGAGAGUGAUUCAGAAAGGCAGAAGUACCCUGGGUGCCCAUGAGCAUUGUGAAUCAACGCUCAUAAAAUUUUUUUAAAAAAGAAUAAAGUGAGGGGCGCCUGGGUGGCGCAGUCGGUUAAGCGUCGGACUUCAGCCAGGUCACGAUCUCGCGGUCCGUGAGUUCGAGCCCCGUGUCAGGCUCUGGGCUGAUGGCUCAGAGCCUGGAACCUGUUUCCAAUUCUGUGUCUCCCUCUCUCUCUGCCCUCCCCCGUUCAUGCUCUGUCUCUCUCUGUCCCAAAAAUAAAUAAAAAACGUUGAAAAAAAAUUUAAAAAAAAGAAUAAAGUGAAUAGUAACAAUAAAAUAGAGGGAGGCUGAGGAAGGAGAGCAACAGAAGAACAUGAAGAGUGUUGUAGCGCAAAUAUAAAACUGUGCUUAAUCUAGACUUGUAUUUUGUAUACAGAGCAAGGAGCCCAAAGUACUGCACAGUGUGGAGGGAAGAUUAAAGUUAAUACUGAAGGACAAGGGAGGAUAACAUGGAGUGAACAUCUGAGGAAGGACUGGAGGAAAAAGCAGAUUGCAAAUCUCAAGGUAGAGGCCUUCUUCAGAGAAACCACGGAGCUCAGGCCUGGAUGUGAGAGGGAACAGGACCACGCCUUCAGCAGGAGUGAACCUCCCAGGGUGCAGGAGCCUUCCUUGAAGUGUAAUCUUGCCAAAGCCAAAACACACACAAACAGAAAUCAACAAUAUGUGCAUUACGCCUGUUAUACCCUACACCAUCACCAUCACAAGUCUCAGAAUCAUCUCACUGGAUUCAAGCUUUGUAUAGCCCCUUUGGAUUGUUGUCUCAGUCUGCUGGCUUGUCACUUUGGCUGCAUCCCUGGAAGCCGUUGCUCAGGUCACUCUCCAUGUUCUACAGUUUGGAAUCCAGUCCUGCCUCACAUCCAAGACCAGCCCAGGGCCCUAGGGCCCCAGCACACAUUGAGGAUGCUAGACUUCUUUCAUCCUGGCGAAAAAGACCAGGCAUGGUGCUCUGAGUUCCUGGGGGAUUUCAGCAACCUGAACUCUUGUCAGAUCUCUGCUGCCCACCUGCCUGUGUUCUAA